This 250-nucleotide ribosomal RNA is filed under the name uncultured bacterium. RNAcentral describes it as "partial 16S ribosomal RNA". It matches the Rfam family "Bacterial small subunit ribosomal RNA", at positions 359 to 631 of the family's 1533-position model. The record is from RNAcentral.
GGGUGAGAUGGACGAAAGCCUGAUGCAGCGACGCCGCGUGCGGGAUGAAGGCCUUCGGGUUGUAAACCGCUUUCAGUAGGGAAGAUAAUGACGGUACCUACAGAAGAAGCCCCGGCCAACUACGUGCCAGCAGCCGCGGUAAUACGUAGGGGGCGAGCGUUGUCCGGAUUUAUUGGGCGUAAAGAGCUCGUAGGCGGUUUGGUAAGUCAAAUGUGAAAUCUCCACGCUCAACGUGGAGGGGCCAUUCGAU